This 530-nucleotide ribosomal RNA is filed under the name Megaphragma giraulti. Its description in RNAcentral is "partial large subunit ribosomal RNA". Lineage: Eukaryota; Metazoa; Arthropoda; Insecta; Hymenoptera; Trichogrammatidae. The record is from RNAcentral.
AAACCGUUCAGGGGUAAACCUGAGAAACCCAAAAGAUCGAAUGGGGAGACUCAUCGUCAGCUGCGUUGGCUUGCGUGCGGCUCGCGAUGCUCGUUGGCGUUUCGGCGUUUCAACGGGUACGCGGUCGCUGCGUUAUGUCCGAUGUUGGUCGGCGUGCACUUCUCCCCUAGUAGGACGUCGCGACCCGUUGGGUGUCGGUCUACGGCCCGCGAGGUUGACUGACGAGCCGCGUUCACGCGCGCGCUUGUCAGACCCGCGGUUGCCCGGCCGACUGCCCGGCGGUAAAGAUCGCUAUUCGAAUGGUAUCGAGCCGCAUUUUGAAUGCGUUCAUUAUGGCUCGUCGGCAGGUGAGCCUCGCUUGAAUUUUACGGACCUAGCGCCGUUGUCGAGUGCUUGUCGCUUGCCGUUUCGCCGACGAUGUCCUCGGACGGGCUCUUGUAACGCGCUUUCGAGCGCGUUUACCGGUCGGCGACGCUUCUGCUUUGGGUACUUUCAGGACCCGUCUUGAAACACGGACCAAGGAGUCUAAC